UAAGGAAUAUUGGUCAAUGGACGCAAGUCUGAACCAGCCAUGCCGCGUGGAGGAUGAAGGCCCUCUGGGUUGUAAACUUCUUUUAUCUGGGACGAAACACUUCUUUUCUAGGGAGCUUGACGGUACCAGGUGAAUAAGCACCGGCUAACUCCGUGCCAGCAGCCGCGGUAAUACGGAGGGUGCAAGCGUUAUCCGGAUUCACUGGGUUUAAAGGGUGCGUAGGCGGACAUGUAAGUCCGUGGUGAAAUCUCAGGGCUUAACCCUGAAACUGCCAUGGAUACUAUAUGUCUUGAAUGUUGUGGAGGUUAGCGGAAUAUGUCAUGUAGCGGUGAAAUGCAUAGAUAUGACAUAGAACACCAAUUGCGAAGGCAGCUGGCUACACAAAUAUUGACGCUGAGGCACGAAAGCGUGGGGAUCAAACA
Molecule: ribosomal RNA, 422 nt
Filed under: uncultured Chitinophaga sp.
Lineage: Bacteria; Pseudomonadati; Bacteroidota; Chitinophagia; Chitinophagales; Chitinophagaceae
Description: bacterial SSU rRNA
Rfam family: Bacterial small subunit ribosomal RNA
Source: RNAcentral